AUGCAAACUCGCGCAUUCCCAAGCUGGAGUCUGGAGAUUGUAACGGCACAGGAUGAGGGAAAUGCAUCCAUUCACGUGCUCUGCCUUCCUGGUCACAGCAUCAAACACCAGCACCCAGAAAUAGAAGGUGAGAAAUCCAGCAAAUAUGUAAAGGGGGCACUGGCUGCUUGGGAGUUGCUGGCAGCUUGGGUACCAGAUCAGUGAGACCUGAAGGAAGCAGGUAGGCUCGAAGAUCUGGAUCUUUGUACCUUCUACCCUCUUAAAUUCUGGAAACGUUACAGAAUGAGAAAGCAAAAAGCCUGGCUUUAUCCGUAGGACUGCCACCACUUUUUGUUGUCUUUAGUACAUCCCCUCUUCAAUAAUCCCUCUGUUCUUCUUUUCUCUCCUGAUUCCUCCCAAUAAAUGGACUUCCAAGUCUUUUCUGAG
RNAcentral lists this long non-coding RNA (426 nucleotides) under Cavia porcellus (domestic guinea pig). RNAcentral describes it as "lncRNA (ENSCPOG00000037677.1)". Lineage: Eukaryota; Metazoa; Chordata; Mammalia; Rodentia; Caviidae. The record is from RNAcentral.